GUGGGGGGCGAGGGAGUAUCUGGAAGCUGGGUAACGGCCCUGGGCUCGCACGUGGAGGUGGAGUGCGGACGCUCCCCAAAGCUAGAGGACGCUGAAGGAACUGGAUACCCAAAGCCUCUCAUCUCCUUCCUGCACUGAAAUGAAAGGUAAAUAUCAGUGGUUCUCAAAGUGUGGUUCCUGGACCACAGCACUGCCAUCCCCUGGGAACUUUUAGCAAUGCAGAUGCUCAAGCCCCACCUCAGACCUACUGAAGCUGAAACUCUGGAGCUGGACCAGUGAUUUAACAAACCCUCCAGGUGGGCAGCAAAUGGUGACAGCUGUACCAGGCAUCACAUCCAAAUGCCACGUCAUCCAGAGGCAGCAGAUAGGGGCUGUCUCUCCUACAGUCUACUUCUCAGAGAUAACUGAAAGCUCACCUCACAGAUGCCACAAAAACCCAAACAUUUUAAUCGUGUAAGGGAAAUAUUUCUAAAAUAGAUUAUAUUCUCCCCAGAAAUGGUGAACAGAGCAUAUAGUCAUAUAGUGGCUUUUGGUGGUCCGGGAAGCAGAGCCCAGAUUUCCUUUGGAACCAUCCUUCUCACACACCCUCAGUCCAGGCUCCAGGAGAAGAGCAUGAGACCCAGGCUGAAGGCCAUCAGGGUGUCUUGUUUCUCCUGGCUACAGGUCCGGGUCUCUAGUGCAUGGGCUUUGCGACAACUAUUCCCUUUGCUUUGAGCCCUUUCUGGCUCUCACGCACUCAGAUAUGUUUUGAAUAGAUACAAUUACUGCAAGUCGGGCCCCCAUAUAAGCAGAGAAUACAGAAACGAAUUUAUUAUUUCUUUUAGUAUCCUUCAAAUUCACUUUGGAGUUUGAAUAUUUUCAAAAGAUUUGUAAAACUGUGGCUAUGCCAUGACCUGAAAACACACUGUGGAAAAAGAGCUCAGGAAAGUAAUCUAAAAUAAUCCACACCAAGUUUCCAUCUCAUUUCUUGAAAUAUUUUGUGCACAGUCCUAUCCUACCUUGGUACCCUAGACAUAGCAAUAUUGACAUACCCACAGUGGCACAAUAAAAAAAAAAACCAAAAACCAAAAAACAUCAUACCAUUUAUCCCGCAAACAGCUUUCAUGAGACUCACAUCAUUAUACACCUUUAAGAAAAAAAACUGUGUAUUGUGGAAAAUUUUAUACAAAACCCUGUGUACCUGACUCAGUUGUGAAACUCCCCCAGGCCUAAUGGUUUAGAAUCGUGGGUGAAAUUAAGCUCACUAAUGGAUCAAGUUCCUGUACUUGGUUCGUUGCUGAGCUAGUGAAGGGAGGUGGGAUGCUGUCAGAAGCCACCACAUCAAGAUGUGACAAGGAGAGAGGAAACAGCCAAAUCGCUCCCAGCUGUAGAGACGUUAAGUGUGGGGAAGACAGCCCUGUAAGCCUCACUAGGCCCUGUUCUGAGGGCCUCGUUAUUAUUCCCCAGAGUGACAACUGAGGUUCACACUUGGUGUUAUUAAGAAAAGUCUACAAUUACGGCCACAUGGCUUUUUUCCAAGGCAGGAUGUGUGCAGUACACUUCAGAAAGCUUGACAUCAACGAAUGGUUAGGUGUGGACACUUAAAGUAGCAAAUUUGAAUUACCUGGGAAGAUCCUUUGUGCGGAUUCCUCAAUUCCAAUUAAUGGGAUGGAAAGAUUUUAAAGACAGAGGAGAGCAAGCAUUCAGUUCCAGUUGUGUUAUUAACUAGCUAUGUGGUCUCGGAGCUCAGUUUCCUUAUCUUUAAACUACACUGCCUGGUAUGGUGGCCACUUGCUAUACAUGGCUAUUUAAAUUUAAAUUAAAAGUAAAUAAGGUUAACAAUUCGGUUCCCCACACACAUGUCAAGCACUUGACAGUUCACAUGUGGUGAGUGGCUAUCACAUCUGAGCAUGCAGAUACAGAACAUGUCCGCCAUCCACAGAAGCUCUACUGGUCUUGCCUGAUCUAGAUCCUAAGGAGAAAAUAUGUUUCAUCUCUUAUGCCACUGCCUGUUGAUUGAUAAUAGUAAUAGAAAAGAUCUCUGACUUUUCUGCUCAGGCUGUGAGCCAUCCCUGCCCUCUCUGAGAACUGCUCGCCAUUCCACAGGAGCGGGCACUGCAUAGCCAUUUUGAACGCUGUCCCUACUUUUUAGAUGAGGGCUGACGGGGUCAGGGGUAGUCACCUGAUCUAAGCACAGUCAGUCAGAGCUUCUCCCUAGGGAAUCUGAUGCUGAGAUUCAGAUACAGUCGCUGUAGGAGGUUAUAAUUGGAAUAAGAAAACAUGGGUGCUAAGAGUGGCCACAUGACCUCAAGCAGAUUGGAGAUGAAGAGAAAGCCUGACUGCAGAGAAAAAAAGUGAAAAAAAGCAGGCAAAAACAUGCAGAGGUAAGGGACAGAGGCCUGAUGGCUUUCUGGUUCCUGGUUCCUGGGGCCUAGCUGCAUACUUGUGCUGGACUUCUUUAGGGUACCCUCGUAUGUUUCUGUGAAUUUCCUCCUUAUUUGCUCAAGGUGGCUCAAGUUGGUUUCUAUUACUUGUAACUAAAGAGCCUUAUCUAAAACAGUAGUCAUUUCUGGGAAUGGAGAACUCAGAAGCCCUAUUCAGACUCAGCAGAGGAAUGUAGUGAUGAAUUGAUGAUGUCUGCCACGGGCACCAGUUGGGAAGUUGAGGCAUCCAUGCUAAAUAUUUGCCAUUCCUGAUUAGUCAGUCUCUGGAUUGAUCUUCAGUUCUCAAAUUCCUUUUGUUUCUCUGGUGAUUCUUAAGGUUUUCUUUUUCUGAUAAUGCUUGAUGAAUAACUUGUUUUUGUUUCAUUCCCUAACAUUUACUAUUUACUGUUUUCAUUGGUGAAAUAAAGUAUAAUGACACUUUAAGACCUCAGAGAGGUAAUAAAUUGGAGGUAUUAAGCAUCAAAGUCUUCAAAUUUUACAUAAAAUGUGAGCUCUAAAUUCAACAAGCUUUCAGCAAAAUGUGACUUUUAGUAAUGCCGGCCAAAUUCCCUGAAGCUGGUAUCCUACAGAUGUUGUUUAAAAAUUACCAUCAGGCUAAACUAAAAAUCUAAAUGAUGUCAAAUUUAUCAAGGUAGUCAAAUACAGUUAAUCUAAAGUAACUCCUUCUUAUCUGAAGAAAUUUAACCAAGAUUUGCUUUUUAAUUAUUAUAAUGUGUUUUGUUUGAUCCAGUGAGCUGUAGCUUUUUCCCAUGUGACAGUUUUGAUUGAAUAUAUGAAAACCAAGGCAGGAAAUUAAGUGAAAAAAAAAAAAAAAAAGACUAUUAGGUGUGGGACCAGAGGCAACAGCUGUAAGAAUGCAGAGAUAGGGCUACGUAACUAGCCAGGGCAAGCCCAAGACCGCACCCAUGGUCUAGAGAUACUGGUUGAAAAUGUGUUGUCAAAAUGCACACAGAUAUGAGAGGUCAGAAAGCAAGACAAUAGAUCAAAAUCAUUUAGGGUCUGCACAAGAAAGACCUUGCUUGCUUGCUUAAGACCAGGUUGGUAUGAAUGGAAGAAUUAGAAAUAUAGCAAUUCUUUCUCUUACAUGGCAAGGCUUUUACCAAGAAGCCUCCAAUUAAACAUCAUUCCUCUAUAACCAUUGUAGUGGACAGACCCUAGUAUGGCCCCAUUUUUAUGUCCUGUAUCAUGUCCUCCCUUUGAGUGUGGGUAGGACUAGGAACUCACCCUAGAACAUGGCAAGGGUGUCACUUUCAUGAUUAUGUUGUUAUAUAUCACUCAUGAUUAUGUUAUUAUAUACAUAUAUAGCUCUAUCUUGCUAGCAUAGACUAGAGAGACUUCAUUAUGCCUUGAAGGAGUAAGCUGCCUUGUCACAAGAGGGCCUAUGGAGGGUCCCACCUGGCAAGAAACUUUGGGUGGCCCAUAUUUGCUGACAGUCAGCAAGAAAACAGGCCCUAGUCCUACAAUUACAAGGAGAUCAAUUCUGCCAACAGCCUGAAGGAGCUUGGAAUCAGAUCCUUCCCUAGUCAAGCCUCUGAUGAGACCACAGCCUCUGUCAAUACCUAGAUGGCAGCCUUAUGAGACUCUGAGCUUAGCUGUGCUUGGACUUCUGACCUACAGAGACUGUGAGAAAAAAAUGUAUGUUAUUUUGAGCUUCUAAGUUUUGGGUGAUUUGUUAUCCAGUGAUAAAAAAAAAAAAAAGUAAUACACUUAUUUUGACCACGGCCUAUCACUGUAGUUUUCAAGGCUUUCUUUUAGCUGUGGAGACCUCUGGUUAAGCAAAAUCAUCCUUGGAAACCCAAUACAUAGGAGAAAAUAAAAGUAGAACUGCUUCAUUUUUAGCCAGGUAGAGGGCAUGGAGCCCUUACCAGCUGGUCUCUCCUGGAUUUAUAGUGACCCAAAAGGAAACUCUGUAAGAACAGUCUGAAAACCAGAAGGUGAAUUGAAGAGAGCACAUAAGGUUGCUGAUCCAGCUACACUCUUCAGGCUGCAGGGAAGAGAUGUACGCAGGUGACCUUCCAAGAUGGAGUACAGUGGAGGCUGUUGAUGCACUACCCAGAAUCCUUAAAUUUCUUUACUAUGUCUGCUCACUCCUCCCCUGGCUUCAGCGUGCUUUUGCCUUCAAUCGUCUGUACAUGUAACUCUUUUUCUUAGAACUCUCUUUGGGCUGCUAGAGCUGCUUUGCCUAGGAUCACAAGUAGGAGGUACCCAGGAGUUUAGGUCUCCUGCUGAGUCCUUUGACAAAGGACUGAUUGGUGGGGGGCUUUGAAAACCAGCCUCCCUCACCUGGAGUUGAGACAACCUCUGAAGUAUAACUUAUACUCCAGAAUUUGCCAUCUGGGUGAAGCUUAAGCUGCCCUCUGCAGACUGCUGAAAUCAUUCCCGGUUUUCCCCGUUUCCCUAUCCUGUCCUCCACUUCCUACCAGCUUUUCGGCAAUAAUUGCUUUGCACAUUAAUCCUCAUAUCAAUGUCUGUUUCUGGGGAACCCCACUUGAGACAUGGGAGUUUCCUGAGAGGAUAUAUGAGCAACUGUUUUAUCUUAACAUCUCUGGGGCUCAGUAUCUCUAAGUCCCUUUUUGGUCACAUUUCAGUCUGGACUCCAGUACCCUGCCUGGUCCUUGCCUUUAAUUCUUAUUACACAUGUAAUUAGUACAUAUUCUUAUUAUGUACAUAAUUAAACAUUUUUCGAAGCCAUAGUUUAAAUACUAAUAACAUUUUAUUUAACAAAGUAAAUAAAAUAUUAUUUUAACAUGUAACCAAUAUUAAAAAUAUUAAUGGGGGGUGCCUGGGUGGCUCAGUCGGUCAGGCAUCCUACUCUUGAUUUUGGCUCAGGUCAUGACCUCAGGGUUCGUGAGAUCAAGCCCUACAUUGGGCUCUGAGCUAACAGCUCAGAGCCUGCUUGGGAUUCUCUCUCUCUGUCCGCCCCCCCCC
Long non-coding RNA from Acinonyx jubatus (cheetah), 5351 nucleotides. RefSeq lists it as uncharacterized. Lineage: Eukaryota; Metazoa; Chordata; Mammalia; Carnivora; Felidae. The transcript has 4 exons. The record is from RefSeq and is a predicted model, not a curated record.